UGGUUCUGGCAUCGAUGAAGAACGCAGCGAAAUGCGAUAAGUAAUGUGAAUUGCAGAAUUCAGUGAAUCAUCGAAUCUUUGAACGCACAUUGCACCCUCUGGUAUUCUGGGGGGUAUGCCUGUUCGAGCGUCAUUACAACCCUCAAUUUUUCUAUGGUUGACCUCGGAUCAGGUAGGGAUACCCGCUGA
RNAcentral lists this unclassified non-coding RNA (189 nucleotides) under uncultured fungus. Its description in RNAcentral is "partial contains 5.8S ribosomal RNA and internal transcribed spacer 2". The stretch from base 1 to 133 matches the Rfam family "5.8S ribosomal RNA", at positions 22 to 154 of the family's 154-position model. From Rfam's summary of the family: 5.8S ribosomal RNA (5.8S rRNA) is a component of the large subunit of the eukaryotic ribosome. It is transcribed by RNA polymerase I as part of the 45S precursor that also contains 18S and 28S rRNA. The record is from RNAcentral. Lineage: Eukaryota; Fungi.